AUACAGAGGGUGCGAGCGUUAAUCGGAAUUACUGGGCGUAAAGCGCGCGUAGGCGGUCUAUUAAGUCAGAUGUGAAAUCCCAGGGCUCAACCUUGGAACUGCAUCUGAUACUGGUAGACUAGAGUUUUGGAGAGGGAAGUAGAAUUUCAGGUGUAGCGGUGAAAUGCAUAGAGAUCUGAAGGAAUACCAGUGGCGAAGGCGACUUCCUGGCCAAAAACUGACGCUGAGGUGCGAAAGCGUGGGUAGCAAACGGGAUUAGAAACCCGAGUAGUCC
This 274-nucleotide ribosomal RNA is filed under the name uncultured bacterium. RNAcentral's name for it is "partial 16S ribosomal RNA". It matches the Rfam family "Bacterial small subunit ribosomal RNA", at positions 523 to 796 of the family's 1533-position model. The record is from RNAcentral.